GCCGGGCGUGGUGGCUCACGCCUGUAAUCCUAAUACUUUGGGAGGCUGAGGUGGGAGGAUUGCUUGAGCCCAGGAGUUCAGAACAGCCUGGCCAACAGAGCAAGACCCCCAACUCUU
Molecule: non-coding RNA, 117 nt
Filed under: Nomascus leucogenys (northern white-cheeked gibbon)
Lineage: Eukaryota; Metazoa; Chordata; Mammalia; Primates; Hylobatidae
Source: Rfam by way of RNAcentral